This is a non-coding RNA of Salmo salar (Atlantic salmon), 54 nucleotides long. The record is from Rfam. Lineage: Eukaryota; Metazoa; Chordata; Actinopteri; Salmoniformes; Salmonidae.
CCCCAAUGCUCCUGUAAGUCGCUCUGAAUAAGAGCAUCUGCUAAAUGACUUAAA